This 84-nucleotide transfer RNA is filed under the name Salmonella enterica. Its description in RNAcentral is "tRNA-Ile". The record is from RNAcentral. RNAcentral also lists the same sequence under 6 other names. Lineage: Bacteria; Pseudomonadati; Pseudomonadota; Gammaproteobacteria; Enterobacterales; Enterobacteriaceae.
GCGGGAGCCAUAGGGGUUGGCCAGUAGCCGACUGAUCAUCGGCGACGAUCACUGGACAGGUUCGAAUCCUGUUCUCCCGCUCCA